CCCAUUAAACUAAUUGCUACAGGCAAUUUAUUCCCUCACGACUAAAUCGGUAGCGCUCAUAAAGAUAAUUGUCCGACUGCCUUAAAGGAUCGUUCCCUGAUUUUCUUGCAAUGAUGGCUCACGAGAACCUCUUACAAACGGCUUGUUUGGGGCAAACACACAACGUACAGGAGAGUGGUGCUGAGGACUCCUGCCUGUUUGGUGCCAGGGUCCUGGACUGAGAAUGCAGGCUAAGCAAUUGGGUCAGAGAUGUCACUGUGCCACCACAACACGGGACCAUGAUCUCAGUGUUUCCAUUGUGAUCUGCUUCUUCACAUUUCACAGAGAGUGCAUUUUAUUAUUGCUUCUGUAUCACUGUAAGACAUUGGAUAUAAGCCAAUAAAAUAUUAUUGGGGGCUGCAA
Anguilla rostrata (American eel) is the source of this 402-nucleotide long non-coding RNA. RefSeq lists it as uncharacterized. The record is from RefSeq and is a predicted model, not a curated record. NCBI's taxonomy places the organism in Eukaryota, Metazoa, Chordata, Actinopteri, Anguilliformes, Anguillidae. The transcript has 2 exons.